This 897-nucleotide long non-coding RNA is filed under the name Bos taurus (domestic cattle). RNAcentral describes it as "long non-coding RNA NONBTAT006678". Lineage: Eukaryota; Metazoa; Chordata; Mammalia; Artiodactyla; Bovidae. The record is from RNAcentral.
AUGGAUGUGACAGGAUGGGUGGAUGUGACACAUGCAGUGUGGAAGGAGAAUUAUGAAACAUGUGUUUGCCUUAGUUUGAAAAGAGAUCUGGGCUGAUAGAGAACUUGUAUGUUACUAACUUAGCCAUUACUGGUCCUUUAACCACUGCUUCACUUUUUUGCAAAAUAUACUGAAGACACGUUUUAUAGUAAAGAAGGCUUUUUAACCUUAACUUGUCUUCUGAAUUCUUGAUAUUUCAGUACUUCAAGUCAGUCAGAACUUUGUAGACAGGCCUGAAAUUUUCUUGAAUACUUGUUUCUUAGCACUUUGAAAAUAUAAAACCACUUUUUAAGUACUGAAUGUCAUUAUUUGCCUUUAAAAUUUCCUGUGCUUGGGGCUUGAAAAAAUUUAGUUAUGUCUUUUUCUGUAUAUAAGUUGUAUAAUUUGUUACUUUCAAAUAUCAGUAGUUCAAUGCAAUCAGGUUUUGGGGUUUGGGGUUUUUUUUGUUUAUCUGCAAAAAAUAAGGGAAACAGCUAUAUAAACCAGUAUUUCACUUUGGAGCACAUUUCCUAAGUAUAAAUUUAUCUUCCUCAUUAUGUUUACUUCAGCAAAUGUUCAGUUUCAUUUGCAUUCUUUAAGAAUGUAUUUACUUGAAGAUAAAAGCAAUUCAAAUAUAUGUUUAAAUAUUAGGUAGAAUUCAACCUAUGAUUUUUAAAUUUCCUUGGAUAGUCCAUACAAUAAAUAAUACAAAUACAGUUAAUGAGAGCUGGCAAAAUUAGAGUGAUAAUUUUGUAUUUUUCAGGAAAAAAUUAUAAAGCAAAUUUCUGUUACAUUUUUUCUUUUUAUUAUAAGGACCAACUUUUGGUAUUUCCUUGUUACUGAGAUCUAUUUUUAGAAUAAAAUUUUGUUCUUUAUCAG